This 1133-nucleotide ribosomal RNA is filed under the name Enterobacter sp. Its description in RNAcentral is "bacterial SSU rRNA". It matches the Rfam family "Bacterial small subunit ribosomal RNA", at positions 353 to 1473 of the family's 1533-position model. Lineage: Bacteria; Pseudomonadati; Pseudomonadota; Gammaproteobacteria; Enterobacterales; Enterobacteriaceae. The record is from RNAcentral.
AGUGGGGAUAAUUUUUCCCAAGGGCCCAAACCGGACCCAACCAAACGGGGGGGGGGAAGAAGGCCUUGGGGUUUUAAACCCUCUUCAGCGGGGAGGAAGGGAGUAAGGUUAAUAACCUUUGUUCCUUGAUGUUUCCCGGCAGAAGAAUACACCUGGUUAACUUCGUGCCAGCAGCCGCAGUAAUACGGAGGGUGCAAGCGUUAAUCGGAAUUACUGGGCGUAAAGCGCACGCAGGCGGUCUGUCAAGUAGGAUGUGAAAUCCUCGGCCUCAACCUGGGAACUGCAUCCGAAACUGGCAGGCUUGAGUCUCGUAGAGGGAGGUAGAAUUGCAGGUGUAGCGGUGAAAUGCGUAGAGAUCUGGAGGAAUACCGGUGGCGAAGGCGGCCUCCUGGACGAAGACUGACGCUCAGGUGCGAAAGCGUGGGGAGCACACAGGAUUAGAUACCCUGGUAGUCCACGCCGUAAACGAUGUCUAUUUGGAGGUUGUGCCCUUGAGGCGUGGCUUCCGGAGCUAACGCGUUAAAUAGACCGCCUGGGGAGUACGGCCGCAAGGUUAAAACUCAAAUGAAUUGACGGGGGCCCGCACAAGCGGUGGAGCAUGUGGUUUAAUUCGAUGCAACGCGAAGAACCUUACCUGGUCUUGACAUCCACAGAACUUUCCAGAGAUGGAUUGGUGCCUUCGGGAACUGUGAGACAGGUGCUGCAUGGCUGUCGUCAGCUCGUGUUGUGAAAUGUUGGGUUAAGUCCCGCAACGAGCGCAACCCUUAUCCUUUGUUGCCAGCGGUCCGGCCGGGAACUCAAAGGAGACUGCCAGUGAUAAACUGGAGGAAGGUGGGGAUGACGUCAAGUCAUCAUGGCCCUUACGACCAGGGCUACACACGUGCUACAAUGGCGCAUACAAAGAGAAGCGACCUCGCGAGAGUAAGCGGACCUCAUAAAGUGCGUCGUAGUCCGGAUUGGAGUCUGCAACUCGACUCCAUGAAGUCGGAAUCGCUAGUAAUCGUGGAUCAGAAUGCCACGGUGAAUACGUUCCCGGGCCUUGUACACACCGCCCGUCACACCAUGGGAGUGGGUUGCAAAAGAAGUAGGUAGCUUAACCUUCGGGAGGGCGCUUACCCACUUUGUUCUGGGUA